AUUGAAUCUCUGAUCUUCCUUUCUAGUUUCAAGGUCAUGUUUAGGACCUUUUCCAUAGUUGGAAGAGGAUCCAUAACUAAAACUCCUGAUUUCAC
Long non-coding RNA from Ipomoea nil (Japanese morning glory), 95 nucleotides. RefSeq lists it as uncharacterized. The transcript has 3 exons. The record is from RefSeq and is a predicted model, not a curated record. NCBI's taxonomy places the organism in Eukaryota, Viridiplantae, Streptophyta, Magnoliopsida, Solanales, Convolvulaceae.